AAGGGCACCACAAGAACGCGUGGAGCAUGUGGCUUAAUUUGACUCAGCGCGGGAAAUCUUACCGGGUCCGGACACACUGAGGAUUGACAGGCAAUAUUGAAAUUAUUGCAUUUAUGCAGUAUUUCAUGUUAAAUAUGCUAGUCCUUUCAUGAUUAUGUGAUAGGUGGUGCAUGGCCGUUCUUAGUUCGUGGAGUGAUCUGUCUGCUUAAUUGCGUUUCACUAAGGGCUUAUUAAUUACGUGUGUUGUAGGUACUUUGACCCCUAUGUUGAAAUAUUACAUAGUGCGUGUCUUAGUUUGCUUUUACUCACACAAUUAAGUCCUGAAAGCAACGAACGUGACCGCAACCUCUUGUUGCCUUUAUUUUGUAAUGUAUUUUGUUAAUAUUUAUAUUGCAAGUGCAUGAAAAAAGGCUUUUUAAACUAGAGGGACCGCUGUAACUUUUUUAAACCAGAGGAAGGUUGCGGCAAUAACAGGUCUGUGAUGCCCUUAGAUGUUCCGGGCUGCACACGUGCUACAAUGAUUAUUGCAGUGAGCAUCUCAUUUUAUUACACCGCCUGCGCGUGUCCAAUUAUUUGCAUACUUAUGUGUGUACUUUAAUUGUGUUACAUUGCGCGCGGUAAAGCCUGCUUCGAAAGUAAGUGGGUAAUCAAUUAGAAGUAAUGAUUUCCCUAUUUAUAGCACACAUAUAUGCGGCAUCUUUACCCGGGUUAAGCUUGUCUUAACUUUUGUGUGUAUCGAUGUUUUUUCCGCAUGUGCAAUUGUCAAUUCAUGGUGGGGACAGACCAUUGUUAAUUGUUGGUCUCGGUCUUAACUAGGAAUGCCUUGUACGGGUCUUUGGUUCAACAAACCACCCGGAAUACGUCCCUGCCCUUUGUACACACCGCCCGUCGCUCUUACCGAUGGACUUCUCUGUGAGUUUGAGGGACUGGAUACUGUAAUAAUUUAUUAUUACUAACCAUCUAUGGAAACUUAAACGAACAGUGUGGUCUAAAGGAAAGAGAAGUCAUAACAAGGCAUCGGUAGGUGAACCUGCAGAAGGAUCA
RNAcentral lists this ribosomal RNA (1044 nucleotides) under Trochammina hadai. RNAcentral's name for it is "bacterial SSU rRNA". It matches the Rfam family "Eukaryotic small subunit ribosomal RNA", at positions 1160 to 1828 of the family's 1831-position model. The record is from RNAcentral. Lineage: Eukaryota; Foraminifera; Textulariida; Trochamminidae.